ACCUGCCUAAGAAAAGAUCCAAAUGGAAUCGUGGGCUCCCUGUGCCCUGGUCACUGAUUGUGCAGGGAGAGAGUCGCUGAAAGGCAUUUUCCCGUGUUUGAGGGGUCCAGCUGUCCCUUCCACCCUGGAGCUUUCACACA
Myotis brandtii (Brandt's bat) is the source of this 140-nucleotide non-coding RNA. NCBI's taxonomy places the organism in Eukaryota, Metazoa, Chordata, Mammalia, Chiroptera, Vespertilionidae. The record is from Rfam.